Molecule: ribosomal RNA, 254 nt
Filed under: uncultured bacterium
Lineage: Bacteria
Description: partial 16S ribosomal RNA
Rfam family: Bacterial small subunit ribosomal RNA
Source: RNAcentral
UACGGGGGGGGCAAGCGUUGUUCGGAUUUACUGGGCGUAAAGGGCGCGUAGGCGGUCAGCACAAGUCAGUUGUGAAAUCUCCGGGCUUAACCCGGAACGGUCAACUGAUACUGUGCGACUAGAGUGCGGAAGGGGCAACUGGAAUUCUCGGUGUAGCGGUGAAAUGCGUAGAUAUCGAGAGGAACACCUGCGGCGAAGGCGGGUUGCUGGGCCGACACUGACGCUGAUGCGCGAAAGCGUGGGGAGCAAACAGG